CCUACGGGAGGCUGCAGUGAGGAAUAUUGGUCAAUGGACGAGAGUCUGAACCAGCCAAGUAGCGUGAAGGAUGACUGCCCUAUGGGUUGUAAACUUCUUUUAUAUGGGAAUAAAAUGUUCCACGUGUGGGAUUUUGUAUGUACCAUAUGAAUAAGGAUCGGCUAACUCCGUGCCAGCAGCCGCGGUAAUACGGAGGAUCCGAGCGUUAUCCGGAUUUAUUGGGUUUAAAGGGAGCGUAGGUGGAUUGUUAAGUCAGUUGUGAAAGUUUGCGGCUCAACCGUAAAAUUGCAGUUGAAACUGGCAGUCUUGAGUACAGUAGAGGUGGGCGGAAUUCGUGGUGUAGCGGUGAAAGGCUUAGAUAUCACGAAGAAUUCCGAUUGCGAAGGCAGCUCACUGGACUGCAACUGACACUGAGGCUCGAAAGUGUGGGUAUCAAACAGGAUUAGAUACCCCUGUAGUC
RNAcentral lists this ribosomal RNA (460 nucleotides) under uncultured bacterium. RNAcentral's name for it is "partial 16S ribosomal RNA". It matches the Rfam family "Bacterial small subunit ribosomal RNA", at positions 338 to 795 of the family's 1533-position model. The record is from RNAcentral.